AAAGGUAUGGCUCAAGUGGUAGAGCACGUGCCUAUCAUGCACAAGGCCUGAGAUCAAUCUCUAGUACCAUCA
RNAcentral lists this transfer RNA (72 nucleotides) under Dipodomys ordii (Ord's kangaroo rat). It matches the Rfam family "tRNA". Rfam says of the family: Transfer RNA (tRNA) molecules are approximately 80 nucleotides in length. Their secondary structure includes four short double-helical elements and three loops (D, anti-codon, and T loops). Further hydrogen bonds mediate the characteristic L-shaped molecular structure. tRNAs have two regions of fundamental functional importance: the anti-codon, which is responsible for specific mRNA codon recognition, and the 3' end, to which the tRNAs corresponding amino acid is attached (by aminoacyl-tRNA synthetases). tRNAs cope with the degeneracy of the genetic code in two manners: having more than one tRNA (with a specific anti-codon) for a particular amino acid; and 'wobble' base-pairing, i.e. permitting non-standard base-pairing at the 3rd anti-codon position. The record is from Rfam by way of RNAcentral. Lineage: Eukaryota; Metazoa; Chordata; Mammalia; Rodentia; Heteromyidae.